This 345-nucleotide unclassified non-coding RNA is filed under the name soil metagenome. RNAcentral describes it as "partial contains 5.8S ribosomal RNA, internal transcribed spacer 2, and large subunit ribosomal RNA". The stretch from base 1 to 120 matches the Rfam family "5.8S ribosomal RNA", at positions 35 to 154 of the family's 154-position model. The record is from RNAcentral.
GAUGAAGAACGCAGCGAAAUGCGAUAAGUAAUGUGAAUUGCAGAAUUCAGUGAAUCAUCGAGUCUUUGAACGCACAUUGCGCCCCCUGGUAUUCCGGGGGGCAUGCCUGUCCGGGCGUCAUUGCUGCCCUCAAGCACGGCUUGUGUGUUGGGCCUCCGUCCUCCUCCCGGGGGACGGGCCCGAAAGGCAGCGGCGGCACCGCGUCCGGUCCUCGAGCGUAUGGGGCUUCGUCACCCGCUCUUGUAGGCCCGGCCGGCGCUUGCCGACACAUCAAUCUUUUUUCCAGGUUGACCUCGGAUCAGGUAGGGAUACCCGCUGAACUUAAGCAUAUCAAUAAGCGGAGGA